ACUUGGUAGACUGGUUUUAAGCAUGGAAGGAUUUAAAUAGAUCAAACCGGCUUCUCUGUUGAGUGAGAAUUGCAGGAAGCCUUAUUCAGAGGUAAGAGAUGCCGGUGGUUUGGGCAAGGGUGAUGUUGGAGAAAGGUGGGUGGAUUUUAGAGUAAAAUUAUCUCGUGAAUUAAAAUUAUCUAGAAAUGAUGAUGGAUUUGGUUAAGGAAUGAGGGGAAGGUAAGGAGUAAUUUCAAAGGUAAUAAUAAUAGCUAAUAUGGUGCCAGGCAUCAUUCUAAGUCUUUACAUAUAUUAGCUUUACAUAUAUUAGCUCAUUUAAUCCAUGAAGGACAAUGUAUGAUUUUCCUCACUUUAUAAAGGAGUAACUUGAGGCACAAAAAGUUUAAAUACCUUGUCCAAGGUUCCAUAGCACACAGUCUGAGUUGAGAUGUGAACACAGAGCCUGAGGUUCAAGUCCUUUUUCUAAACCAGUGAUUCUCAAAGGAGACAUUGUUGGUUGUCACAGCUGGGGCUGGAGUGCUACUGAUAUCUAGGGAUAGAGGACAGAGAUGCUGCUAAAUAUCCUACAAUGCACAAGAUAGUCCCCACGACAAGAAAUUACCCAGCCCAAAAUGUCAGUAGUGCCCAGGUUGAGAAACCCUGUUGCAAAUUGCUACAUUAUAUUAAUACUACCUACUGAGGGUAGCCGGUAGGCUUCUUAGACAACUGGUUUACCAAUACUGGGCGAAGACCAGUUUGAGGGAGACUGAGUUGCUUUCUGGACACAUCCAGUUGAGGUCCUUUAAGGCACCUAGGAAGAUAGGGCAAGUAAACUGCUGGAUGCUCGCUUGGCUUUGUAAUUCAGAGAGGUCUGGCACUGCUUGGAGUAGGUUUCUAUUCCUGGCAACUGCAUACACCAAAAUAUCUCCUGUAUUUUUAUAGUGUAUUUGUUUGUUUGUUUAUACCCCCACCCUCUUCCAGAAAGGAUGCAAAGCUGCUUAGGAGGAUAAGGAACACGCAAGAGUCUGAUGUAAGUUAAAAGUAGGACAAAGGAACACAUUCACAUAAGGGUGGAGACAUAGGAUGGAGCCAGCAAUGAGGCUAAAAGGAACCCUAAUCCCAUUCCUGGCAGCUGCAGGGCUCUUCUUACAAUCUUACUGGACUCCUUUAUCCCAGUCUCUGCUGAGAUCUCUGCCUCCUCUCCAGGAGAUGAACCCCAAUCCUCACCUCUUGGCUGCCCUGCAGCUGAGAUGAAAACUGAAUGUGCUUACUGUCUUUUAGGUUCCUGGCACCUAGUGGGAGAACAAUACAUAGUUGUAGAGAGAAACUCCAGGGAUGGGGUUGUGAACAAGACCCAAAGCCUCCCCCAUAGAGCUUCCUUUUGAAUGGGGGAGACAAACCAAAAAGGGGAGCAACCGUUGAUAUGAGCAUUCGUGCUUUGUUUUGCUUAUCAGAUAAUUUAAUAGCUAGUUCCAAGGCGUCUUUCAUGCUAUAAAGAAACAAAAAAGGACCCAAGAAAAAAUGAUGAGGAGAAGUAUGGUGGUUGGGGAAGCCUCUGUGAGAAGGUGAUAUGCAAGCUGAGACCUAGAAGAGGAGAAGGGACAGAGUUUCAUAGAGUCGGGUGAAGGCAUUCCAACCAGGAAACAGCGUGGACAGAUAGCCCUGGAUGGGAAACAACUAUGGUCUUUGAGAAACCGGGAAGAGGCCAGCAGGCCUGAAGCAGGAUGAGUGAAGAGAGAGGGUGGGAAAACAGCCAGGACCUUGCAGGCAUAGGAAAGAGUUUGGGUUUUAUUUCAAGUGCAGUAAGGAGCUAUGGAAGGACUACGUGGCAGAGAUCAACAAUUGUCCACAAGUAUCCAUUCUCCCCUUUGUCCUGAUUCAUAAAAUCCACAAGGUUGAACUGGGCAUGUGGCUGCCUGGAAUAAGAACAACUUUUCCCAGCCUCUUUUGCAGAUGUGGUCAUGUGACUUAAGCUCUGGCUGCUAGAAUCCAAGCUGGGGUGGUGUAUGCAACUUCUGAGUAGUAUCUUUGAAAGGGGGAUGUGUGUCCCCACUCCUCCUUGCUGCUAUGUGGGGUAUAGAUUAAAUGGCUGGAACCCCAGCACCAUCUCAGACUCUGAAGUGACCUUGGAAAUAAAAGCCAGGAUUGGAGAUGCCACAAUGUAGACAGAGCCUGGAUUCCUGACUCCGUUGAACUGCCAUAGUCUCAGGUAGCCAGCUGCCAGAUGCUUCUGGGAGGGAGGGAAAAGCAUCUAUCUUGCUGAAGCCACUGUUAGUGUGCAUUUUCUGUCACAGCUAAACCUAAUUCUAACUGAUAAAGGCUUUCAGGAGGAACCACAUGAUUCCGUUUAUCACAUCAGAAGCUCCCUUAGGCCCUUGUGAGGAGCAGAAGAUUGAAAGGGAGUGAGUACAGAGCAGGGAGAUAGGGGCAGAGGCUGCUGCAAUCAUCCAGGCAAAUGAAUGAACAAAUGAAUGAAUGAAUUGUAACCGGACCCAGGUUCAGUUGCUCUCUGCUUGAAAGCCAAAACUCAAGAAAUGAGACUUGGUGGGAGGAAAAACAGGUUUUUCGGGAAGCCAGCAAACGGAGAAAAUGGUAGACUACCAUCCUAAAAUGCCAUCUUAAGUCAGCACAAAUUUCAGGCUUUUUUUUAUGUUAAGGGCAGGGGAAGAAGAGGGAGUUGGGAUCAAGAUGUGACUGAUGACUGCAGACCUCUGGGUGCCAGUGAGGGCCUGAGGAGUUUGGGAACUUCUUUGUCCUUGGUCAGGUCACAAUGCUCCUGUAAAUCUUUAACAAAACACAGUUGUUUACAUACUUUCCCUUUAACCCCAGAGUUAUUUUUUAAAACUACAUAAUUGCUGUUUUUGUGUAUUAUCUAUAUGGAUCUUUAACAAAACAUGAUUGUUUACAUACUUUCCCUAUAACCCCAGAGUUGGCUUUUAAAACUACAUGAUUGCUGUUUUUGUGUAUUAUCUCAGUGCUCUAAAAUUAUCCUAGCCUACACGCGGGCAUGGGUUAAAGCCCCUUACACAAAUACGGUGAGUGUUACAUUCUUUUGCUGUUUCGCUGUUGCUGAAUGAAUGACUGAAUGAAAGCAUCUCCCAAGGCUGCCUGCUUGCUUACCUUCUCACAUGAUGCUUCUUUGCCUCUCUGUUCCUUAAGGAGCUUUCCCUCCCUUCUUUCUUGCCCCACAGUCCCCAAACUCACCAGUGUGGGCAGAAGGAGAAAAGGAAUGUUCUAUCCAGCCCCAUACCCCAGCACCUGCUGGGCAACUUUGUCUUCCCUUCUGCAAAAGAAAAGAAGUCCCCUCAAACACAGGAGAGGAUGGGAAAAGGCAUCUCUCUAAGCAGUAACCCUGGCAGGGCCCUUCAGGAUUCCCAAAUUCCCAAUUUAUAGACAGGGAAACUGAUCCCUAGAGAAGGGAAGGGACUUGCCCAUGUCCACACAGCAUGUUAGUGGGACACAUCAUGAAACAUAAAAGCAGGAAGAGGGUCUAGAAACCAUCUAGCCCUACCCCCUCAUUUAGAGAAAGGAAAACCGAGGCCCAGAGAGGGAGAGUUAGUGACAGAGCCACAACAAGAACUCAGAAGAGGGUCAGCUGGUGUGCAACCAGCUCAGUGACACAAAAGCCUGUGCUAGGGAUUUAAUGUUCUACUGUCGUGUCUUGAAAUUCUUCAUAUCUUAUCUGUAAAUGUGUAGUUUGUAAAUGAAGUCUGUGAGAUAACACAGCAGGCACCCAGGCCAACAGCCUCAGUUCAAGUGCAGUCCGGCCCCUCCCUCACCAGGUGGGUUCUCAGUGCCAGCUUCCCCAACCCCCUGCUAUCUCCUCCUCACAUCCCUUCUUCUCUCUCUUCCCCCCAACAGCUGCCAGUCUGCUAUCUGCAGGGCACUGGCACGGGAGGCUGAGCAUGCACAUCCCACAGCAUUUGGGUAGGACACGACUGCAGCCAUGCCUGCCCUAGAGGUUGAUGACAUCGUGGUGCCUUCAAGGGGGGAAACUGGCAGGGCAAGCCUUUCCCCUAUGCUAGAGCCUCUGACAUGGAGGUUGCAAGAUGUGGGGGUACCUGUCCACCAUGGAUUGGGGUGAAGGGCCUGUGGGAAAGGAGGAUGCCUGGCUUCCCUUCUCCGGGUCCUCUUGCCUCAGUGUAGGGGACCUGGCAGCAGAUGGGCACUGGUGGGCCACACUGCAGGGGAAGGCUCCUGGGUGCCUUGAGGGCCUCCGUGCUCCUCUCCAGUAGCUCCAUGCCCAAGGUAGCAUAGCAUUAAAUAGCAAAUACACAGCACAAGAGGGGCCACAGAAGUGGGGUGGGGCUUUAUGUUUGGGUACCUCUCUCCUGCCUGUGGAACAAAAGGCUUGUGUUUGCAAUGUGCCCUGGGCUGUCACAUUAGGUAGCUGUCCUGACUCAGGACUUCUGUUGCUCUGGCCACCAGCCCCCAGCACUCAGCACCGCUGGACAACACCGGUGUAUUCACGUUCAGUCUAGUGCGUUCCCGGCCCUGUGCUGGGCCUCUUUUCCCUGUUUUCUUGUUUGCAGCCUUGUCGUAACUGAGUGAGGUGUGCACUAUUAUUAGACUCAUUUUACAGGUGAGGAAAGACAGCUGCCCAUAGGCUGAGUUAACUUGUCCACGUCCUCCACCAGGGAAGCAAGAGAGCCAAGCUCCCCACCCAGGUGGCCUGGUGCUCCUGUCCUGGCCCGACAUGCGGGCAGUCGGGCCGUCGGGAAAGGAAAGCGCAGUGUAGAGGAGCUGCUUCUCACCGCCUCUCCUCCCCUCCCCACCUUCCCCGGGAACUCAUGCCCCUCCCCUGCACUCCUGCUCCUUGCCGGCUCGCCCUGGGCCGCUCCGAAGGGAGGAGACCACGUGACCCAGGUCACCGGUAACCAGGCAACCGUUCCAAGACACUGCUUUUCAUCCACUCUGGCUUCUACCUUAUUCAAUAUCUGCCAGGCGGGCAAGGCUCCUGGGAGCAUCCCUGAAGCCAUUUCUCUGGGCCAGGAGCCAGCUGUUCCCAAAAUGGCCACGAUGCCUCAGGAGGGAGGUUGACACCCUGUGCUCUCAGAAGCAGCUCAGAGCUCAGAGGCAGACCUCUACUCAUGCAAUUCUGCCUUCUGUGCAUGCAAUGGAUUGCUGCCAUCUCCAAUCAGCCACAAUGGGAGGCCACCUGCUAGACAUGGAAGAGCCACCGGAUGGAAGAAGCCUGGGUCUCUGAAAUACUGCUUGGAGUAGACUACUCUGCCUGCAAACUAGGAGCACUGAUUUUGGACUUUUUGGGAGGGACUUCUAUGCCCUCUGCAGUUUGCCUCUUCCUCUGCUAUUUUUUCAUGUAUGUGUAUGUUUUUUGCCUGUAUUUGCAAUGCCAGCCAUCAUUUGCCAUGUCUUCUAGCGGCAACCUGCAUUUAGCCCAGAUCUGCUGUGAUUAUUCCUUUUCACAAACCACAAUGACUCUGGAAAACCUGGCUGUAAACACCAGCACUGCCACCAGCUAAGGAUCUGUGAUCAGGAGUGCCAUCUCACGGUAACAGGAAUAUGAAGUCUGAGGUUUCUGCUCUGACAAGAGGAAAUGUCUAACAGCAGAAGACAAAAGUGAAACCGGGCUGAUGCGAAUCACUGGGAAACUGGCUUUGGCACCUCCAGAGAAUGAACUGUUUCAUAGCCUAGCUGACCAUCCAUGAAAAUGGCUGCCUGGAGAGGCAGUGAUCAGCCCAUCCCUGCAGGGUGAAGAUAAGCUUGUGCAGGCCACUGGCUAACACAGUUCAUCCCAUGCCUCCUACAUACCAAGCACUGUGCCAGGCACUUUUCACGUCUGGCAUCCUCAGAAUCCUCCAAAAGGUCGGAUUCAGACAAUCCGGUGGAGCACUCUGAAAUUUAGAGGAAGUGGUCAAAUAGAAUUUUCUGGAAUUAUGGAAAUCUUCUAUUCUGUGCAUCUAGUAUAGUAGAAUCUAGUCACAUGUGGCUUUUGAGAACUGGAAAUAUGGCUAAUGCAACAGAGAAAGUGAAUUUUUACUUUUGAUUCAUUUAAAUAUAAAUGGUCACAUAUGACAUCACUGCCAUAUUGGACAUUGCAGUUCUGGAAGAUGGCAGAUGCAGCCCUCAGAAGAAUUAUCAGCCUGAAUGUCUGGGCGGAGCAGAGCACUACCUUCCCACUCACUCUUCCCCUCCUCUCGCCCCCUCCCCUGCCUCACUUGCAUCAGAUUAUGAUGUGAGCAAAAGCAGGAAACAGCUCUUUUGAUAGGCCUGUGAGACUUGCUGUUCGUUGGAGUAGCUAGGCUGCUCUGACUCAUACAGACCCAAAUCCUGGCAACCACUUUUAUGAAGAAAUGACAAUUCAGUCUACUACUUGUCCAUUUUACAUGCCCAAGGAAUGUGAGGGGCCUCUGCUUGGAUCUAGUUUUCAACCUAGUCUAUGGCAUUGAUUAUCCUUUUAAAAGACAAAAGAGGUGACUUCACGGGCACUUAACAUCUUGGCCAUACUGACCCCAGUUGCACGCUACGUAGGAAGUUUUAGUCCAUUUAAACUGAAGUUCCAAUUUUUUUUUUAACAACUAUUUAAAAAUUGUACAUGUCCCAUACAUGACAGAGAAAGGGUUGUCUGGUUGGAUGAUUUUUGGCUUGCAAAAAGAGAACACAAAAGAAAAGCAUACGUUUUAAUACUCAAGAGACCAAAUUUUCUGCUGAAGAGGAAAUGAACUACAUAUCCAGAAGGGUCCUACCAAGAGGCCAAACAGACUGUGUUCUCUUGGGGGAGUUCUCAGUGGUGAUGAGAACACCACUUUUUUUUUUUUUUUAGUCAUUUUCAAGGUGAGAUAUUGACUUGCUGCUGGAGCAGGACAACUGGUCUCUCUUUCAUUGCUAGCAGCAGAGUAAGGGUCUUGCAAGUUUCAGGCAGCAGCAGAGAAAGGGUCUUGCAAGUUUCAGUCCAAAGCAAGAAGAGCUAGGAUUGCACCAGCUGUCUCACCUACUCUGUGCUCACCUGUUUCUGGAUGAAGCACGGUGACAUCUGUUUUAUUGUAAAGAGAACCAACUUUGGAAUCAAAUGGAACCUGUAUUAAAAUCCUGAAUCCGUCACUAGCUUGGACAAGUCA
RNAcentral lists this long non-coding RNA (7058 nucleotides) under Homo sapiens (human). RNAcentral's name for it is "HSALNT0312179". Lineage: Eukaryota; Metazoa; Chordata; Mammalia; Primates; Hominidae. The record is from RNAcentral.